Molecule: unclassified non-coding RNA, 1909 nt
Filed under: Thrips palmi
Lineage: Eukaryota; Metazoa; Arthropoda; Insecta; Thysanoptera; Thripidae
Description: rabenosyn-5, transcript variant X2
Source: RNAcentral
AGUAGGUGGAGGGAGUGGGGGAGACGAGCACUGUUCUGUUUUCUGCUGCCACCUAACCUAGAAAAAGAAAAUGGCAGAAGGAGGCGGAAUGGUUUUGGAAGGAUUUUUAUGUCCGGUUUGUAAAGCAGACUUGGGCACUGCAGUUAAACUCUUGUCUCAUUUUGAGAAAGAACAUAAUGAGGACAAAGACGUAUUACAAGCUUUUAAAGAUUUGUUUGGUAAAGCCAAAAAGAAAAUACUGAAAAAUGAAGGCUUGCCAUCUGGGGAUUCAGAUGUUUCCACCAAAUCUCGAAAAGUCAUUGGGUAUUCUCCAAGUUUGUAUGAACCCCAGUGUAUUGGAGCUAUUCGCUCUCACACAAAGUUAUUUGCCUCUGUUCGUAGCCAGCAUUUAGAGCACUAUACUGUAGAGACUAAUAAACUGCUCAUCCGUCUUGAUAAGAUUCUGAGAGAUCUACCUUCAGACCCUCUGAAGAGAAAAGCACAUGAACAAGAAGUUGUACCUUGGGUGGAUGAGAAGAUGGUGCGCCUCUGCCCCAGUUGUAGUAGAUCCUUCCAUUUGGCGAGAAGAAAGCACCAUUGUCGUCUUUGUGGUUUUGUUAUGUGCAAUGACUGCAGUUAUUCGUUAAACCUUGAUGUUGCCCGUAAAAUGACAAGCCCUAUCACCCAGGCUGAGGCAUCAAGUGACACCCAUGGUUCAUCUGUGCCUACUCCAAAAUUAAAACGAUCAAACUCUAGCUCUAGUUUGAAUUCAGUAUUGUCCUUAGUAGAGGGAGUCCACCAAAUAGACACAGGGUUGCGUGUUUGUAAUGAUUGUUUAAGACUCCUUGAAAGCAGGGAGGCUCUGAGGGAGAGUAGAACAGCACGCCCAAUCUUACUUCAGUUUUAUGAGCGACUAAGAAGUUACAUGCAAGAUGCCAAUCAAUUACUUCCAACUUAUAUUUUAAUGUGCAACUCUCUCAGCUGUGGGGAACCUACUUAUCAGCUGAAAGAGGCACAGACAUUGUGGGGAAAGUUGCUUCGAUUAGCAGAACACAUCGACUCUCUUAGCAAAAAGAUACUCGUCUUAGGUAGUGCUGACACUGAAAAUCCACCCAGGGGCAGAGCAUUACUUCUGCAGCAACAAAUACGAGCUGCAGCCACUGCAUUUUUACGUAAUGAGAUGCUAGGACUUCCAACAUUGCCUACAGAAGCAAAGUACUUAGAGAUGCAGGAACAACGCAGGCAGGAGCUUAAAGCUCGCAUACAACAGGAGCAAAUGGAGGCAAUGGCCUCAAUGCAGGCUCAAAAACAGAAAAUUAGAGAAAGAGGCCAAGAGCCAAGUAGAAUUACAUACACCAAGGAUCGGGAUAAUGUUCACCAAGAUACUGUCUUACUAGAUGCGGGAUGGACACCAGACACAGCUCGACUUUUCAGUACAGAUGAUCCUAUGGUGCAGCAAAUGAAUAACCUUAAGCAUUACAUAAAAGAGGCAAAAUUAGCUCAUAAGGUAGACGAAGUUGAGGCCCUUGAACGUAAUCUUGAAGAAUUGCAAGAGGAAUACUGGAGACAGCAAGAACAGAAACGGCAAGAAAGUGAUAGCUAGUCAAAUAAUUUCAUAGUGUAUAUAGCUGGUUACAAAAGUUAUUGAGUUUGGUGCUAUGUUGUUAAUUCAUUAUCAAUACUUGUGAAGUACACUGAAACAAGUGUACUUAUUGCCUAGGUCUCUCUUUGCUAAUUAAAGUCAAUCAAUUCUAUUGUACAGUUGAUCCUGCAACAUAUUAAUUUUCUGUAAUUAUGUCUUAUUCAUGUAUUGCAGUGUUGUAUAUUAAAACUAGGCUCAUUGGUAUUCCUGCUUACUAGAACAUUUUUCUAGGAACUUUGGAAAUUGACUCCACACAGAUGACUUAUGUUCAAUUGUUUUUGUUUGAUG